Molecule: ribosomal RNA, 373 nt
Filed under: uncultured bacterium
Lineage: Bacteria
Description: bacterial SSU rRNA
Rfam family: Bacterial small subunit ribosomal RNA
Source: RNAcentral
GGGGGGAGCAAGCGUUGUUCGGAUUUACUGGGCGUAAAGGGCGCGUAGGCGGUCAGCACAAGUCAGUUGUGAAAUCUCCGAGCUUAACUCGGAAAGGUCAACUGAUACUGUGCGACUAGAGUGCAGAAGGGGCAACUGGAAUUCUCGGUGUAGCGGUGAAAUGCGUAGAUAUCGAGAGGAACACCUGCGGCGAAGGCGGGUUGCUGGGCUGACACUGACGCUGAGGCGCGAAAGCUAGGGGAGCGAACGGGAUUAGAUACCCCGGUAGUCCUAGCCUUAAACGAUGAAUGCUUGGUGUCUGGGGUUAUAAAGUCCCCGGGUGCCGUCGCUAACGCUUUAAGCAUUCCGCCUGGGGAGUACGGUCGCAAGACUG